RNAcentral lists this non-coding RNA (23 nucleotides) under Cricetulus griseus (Chinese hamster). The record is from RNAcentral. Lineage: Eukaryota; Metazoa; Chordata; Mammalia; Rodentia; Cricetidae.
UAUCAGGCCCUCAUAGAACAUAC